This 230-nucleotide ribosomal RNA is filed under the name uncultured bacterium. RNAcentral's name for it is "partial 16S ribosomal RNA". It matches the Rfam family "Bacterial small subunit ribosomal RNA", at positions 562 to 791 of the family's 1533-position model. The record is from RNAcentral.
AAAGCGUGCGCAGGCGGCUUUGCAAGACAGAUGUGAAAUCCCCGGGCUCAACCUGGGAACUGCAUUUGUGACUGCAAGGCUAGAGUACGGCAGAGGGGGAUGGAAUUCCGCGUGUAGCAGUGAAAUGCGUAGAUAUGCGGAGGAACACCAAUGGCGAAGGCAAUCCCCUGGGCCUGUACUGACGCUCAUGCACGAAAGCGUGGGGAGCAAACAGGAUUAGAUAUCCUUGU